ACUUAGCCGCGAUGGCAGUGGCAUCCUUGCUGGGCGGGGUUCGCCCAGCAAGAUAUAACGUACAGCGGGACAACUC
This is a small RNA of Flavobacterium micromati, 76 nucleotides long. It matches the Rfam family "Flavo-1 RNA". The record is from Rfam. Lineage: Bacteria; Pseudomonadati; Bacteroidota; Flavobacteriia; Flavobacteriales; Flavobacteriaceae.